RNAcentral lists this microRNA precursor (100 nucleotides) under Mayetiola destructor (Hessian fly). Its description in RNAcentral is "microRNA mir-274". It matches the Rfam family "mir-274 microRNA precursor family". The record is from RNAcentral. Lineage: Eukaryota; Metazoa; Arthropoda; Insecta; Diptera; Cecidomyiidae.
GCAUUCGUGGCAGUUUUAUUUUGUGACCGACACUAACGGGUAGUGAUUUAUUUUGAUACUAUACUCGUUUUUGCGAUCACAACCACUGAAAUUGCAACGA